RNAcentral lists this ribosomal RNA (652 nucleotides) under Anthracoporus nigropurpureus. RNAcentral's name for it is "eukaryotic LSU rRNA". The stretch from base 1 to 106 matches the Rfam family "5.8S ribosomal RNA", at positions 50 to 154 of the family's 154-position model. Lineage: Eukaryota; Fungi; Basidiomycota; Agaricomycetes; Boletales; Boletaceae. The record is from RNAcentral.
GAAUCGCGAUAAGUAAUGUGAAUUGCAGAUUUCCAGUGAAUCAUCGAAUCUUUGAACGCACCUUGCGCUCCUUGGUACUCCGAGGAGCAUGCCUGUUUGAGUGUCAUUCAAUCUUUCUCAACCAUGUGUCUUUCGAGGCCCAUGGCUUGGACUUUUGGGGGCUUGCUGGCAUCAAAAAGAAGUCGGCUCUCCUGAAAUGCAUUAGCGAACGGAUCAGCAAGUCCUUGGACAUGCAAUGGCCCCUUGGCGUGAUAACGAUCGUCAUGGCUGGAGUGUCUGACCUACUGUUCCUUUGCUUCCAACUUGAAUAGGAGGGGGGAAGACAGGACUUUGGAAUUUCAGAGUCUAGCCUAGUUACUAGUCAGCCAUGCAAGGCUGUCGAACACAGGUCAAACCUUUGAUUCUUCAWGAUCUCGUUUCUUUCUCUAGUGACACUUUGGAUUUGGAAUCAAGCCUAGUUACUAGUUGGACACCCCAUGGUAUUUUGAGAGAUCAUGUGUAAUAUAUAUCAUGGUCUGAUGAACACAGACUUUGGAAGCCUAGUUACUAGUCAGUCAUGUGCUAUAUAUUAUGAUCUGUAUAUCAUGGACCAGCGAACACAGGCUGGCUUUUCGAGUUCCAGAGAAUCACGUCCCAUCCCAUCGACUUUGAC